This 484-nucleotide ribosomal RNA is filed under the name uncultured bacterium. RNAcentral's name for it is "partial 16S ribosomal RNA". It matches the Rfam family "Bacterial small subunit ribosomal RNA", at positions 30 to 507 of the family's 1533-position model. The record is from RNAcentral.
AUUGAACGCUGGCGGCAGGCCUAACACAUGCAAGUCGAGCGGAUGAAGGGAGCUUGCUCCUGGAUUCAGCGGCGGACGGGUGAGUAAUGCCUAGGAAUCUGCCUGGUAGUGGGGGAUAACGUCCGGAAACGGGCGCUAAUACCGCAUACGUCCUGAGGGAGAAAGUGGGGGAUCUUCGGACCUCACGCUAUCAGAUGAGCCUAGGUCGGAUUAGCUAGUUGGUGGGGUAAAGGCCUACCAAGGCGACGAUCCGUAACUGGUCUGAGAGGAUGAUCAGUCACACUGGAACUGAGACACGGUCCAGACUCCAACGGGAGGCAGCAGUGGGGAAUAUUGGACAAUGGGCGAAAGCCUGAUCCAGCCAUGCCGCGUAUGUGAAGAAGGUCUUCGGAUUGUAAAGCACUUUAAGUUGGGAGGAAGGGCAGUAAGUUAAUACCUUGCUGUUUUGACGUUACCAACAGAAUAAGCACCGGCUAACUUCGUG